Molecule: ribosomal RNA, 741 nt
Filed under: uncultured bacterium
Lineage: Bacteria
Description: bacterial SSU rRNA
Rfam family: Bacterial small subunit ribosomal RNA
Source: RNAcentral
GCUCAGAUUGAACGCUGGCGGCAGGCCUAACACAUGCAAGUCGAACGGUAACAGGAAGCAGCUUGCUGCUUCGCUGACGAGUGGCGGACGGGUGAGUAAUGUCUGGGAAACUGCCUGAUGGAGGGGGAUAACUACUGGAAACGGUAGCUAAUACCGCAUAACGUCGCAAGACCAAAGAGGGGGACCUUCGGGCCUCUUGCCAUCGGAUGUGCCCAGAUGGGAUUAGCUAGUAGGUGGGGUAACGGCUCACCUAGGCGACGAUCCCUAGCUGGUCUGAGAGGAUGACCAGCCACACUGGAACUGAGACACGGUCCAGACUCCUACGGGAGGCAGCAGUGGGGAAUAUUGCACAAUGGGCGCAAGCCUGAUGCAGCCAUGCCGCGUGUAUGAAGAAGGCCUUCGGGUUGUAAAGUACUUUCAGCGGGGAGGAAGGCGAUAAGGUUAAUAACCUUGUCGAUUGACGUUACCCGCAGAAGAAGCACCGGCUAACUCCGUGCCAGCAGCCGCGGUAAUACGGAGGGUGCAAGCGUUAAUCGGAAUUACUGGGCGUAAAGCGCACGCAGGCGGUCUGUCAAGUCGGAUGUGAAAUCCCCGGGCUCAACCUGGGAACUGCAUUCGAAACUGGCAGGCUAGAGUCUUGUAGAGGGGGGUAGAAUUCCAGGUGUAGCGGUGAAAUGCGUAGAGAUCUGGAGGAAUACCGGUGGCGAAGGCGGCCCCCUGGACAAAGACUACGCCCAGUCG